This is a long non-coding RNA of Leopardus geoffroyi (Geoffroy's cat), 143 nucleotides long. RefSeq lists it as uncharacterized. Lineage: Eukaryota; Metazoa; Chordata; Mammalia; Carnivora; Felidae. The record is from RefSeq and is a predicted model, not a curated record. The transcript has 2 exons.
CUUAUAUGACAAGUCCACAGCUAACAUCAUACUCAGUGCAAAGCUGAAAGCUUUUGCUGUAAAAUCAGGAAAAGACAAGGAUGCCCAUUCUCACCACUUUUAUUCAACAUAGUAUUGGAAGUCCUAGCCAGAGCAACUUGGCA